This is a non-coding RNA of Trichonephila inaurata madagascariensis, 73 nucleotides long. The record is from the annotation of a GenBank genome assembly. NCBI's taxonomy places the organism in Eukaryota, Metazoa, Arthropoda, Arachnida, Araneae, Nephilidae.
GUCCUUGCAGCGCGAUGGAUAGCGCCUUGGACUUCUAAUUCAAAGGUCGUGUGCUCGAAUCCCACCUGGGAUA